UGAGCCGCGUCCAGACUCUUACGGAGCAGGCAGUGGGGAAUUUGCACAAUGAGCGCAUCUGAUGCAGACAUGCCGCGUAUAUGAAGAAGCUUCGGUUGUAAAGUCACUUUCAGUCGUGAGGACAGGUGCGUCAGUCAUAGCGGCAUCAUUGACGUUAGCUGACAGAAGAAGCACGGCUAACUCCGUGCCAGCAGCCGCGGUAAUACUGAGGGGUCAGAGCGUUAAUCGGAAUUUCUGGGCGUAAAGCGCAUGCAGGUGGUUUGUUAAGUCAGAUGUGAAAGCCCGGGGCUCAACCUCGGAAUAGCAUUUGAAACUGGCAGACUAGAGUACUGUAGAGGGAGGUAGAAUUUCAGGUGUAGCGGUGAAAUGGGUAGAGAUCUGAAGGAAUACCGGUGGGGAAGGCGGCCUCCUGGACAGAUACUGACACUCAGAUGCGAAAGCGUGGGGAGCAACCAGGAUUAGAUACCCUGGUAGUCCACGCCGUAAACGAUGUCUACUUGGAGGUUGUGGCCUUGAGCCGUGGCUUUCGGAGCUAACGCGUUAAGUAGUCCGCCUGGGGAGUACGGUCGCAAGAUUAAAACUCAAAUGAAUUGACGGGGGCCCGCACAAGCGGUGGAGCAUGUGGUUUAAUUCGAUGCAACGCGAAGAACCUUACCUACUCUUGACAUCCAGAGAACUUUCCAGAGAUGGAUUGGUGCCUUCGGGAACUAUGAGACAGGUGCUGCAUGGCGGUCGUCAGCUCGUGUUGUGAAAUGUUGGGUUAAGUCCCGCAACGAGCGCAACCCUUAUCCUUGUUUGCCAGCGAGUAAUGUCGGGAACUCCAGGGAGACUGCCGGUGAUAAACCGGAGGAAGGUGGGGACGACGUCAAGUCAUCAUGGCCCUUACGAGUAGGGCUACACACGUGCUACAAUGGCGCAUACAGAGGGCGGCCAACUUGCGAAAGUGAGCGAAUCCCAAAAAGUGCGUCGUAGUCCGGAUUGGAGUCUGCAACUCGACUCCAUGAAGUCGGAAUCGCUAGUAAUCGUGGAUCAGAAUGCCACGGUGAAUACGUUCCCGGUCCUUGUCCACACCGCCCGUCCCACCAUGGGAGUGGGCUCCAAAAGAAGUAGGUAGUUUAACCUACGGAGGGACGCGUACUACAGUUUUGCAGGC
Molecule: ribosomal RNA, 1153 nt
Filed under: Vibrio sp. sw-1-3-1(2011)
Lineage: Bacteria; Pseudomonadati; Pseudomonadota; Gammaproteobacteria; Vibrionales; Vibrionaceae
Description: bacterial SSU rRNA
Rfam family: Bacterial small subunit ribosomal RNA
Source: RNAcentral